Molecule: non-coding RNA, 294 nt
Filed under: Juglanconis oblonga
Lineage: Eukaryota; Fungi; Ascomycota; Sordariomycetes; Diaporthales; Juglanconidaceae
Source: RNAcentral
AAGGAAAGUUAUUAAUUUAAUAAUUUAUGUAUAAUAUUUAAGUCUAAGUAAAGGUUUUCAAUAGAGAAUAUAAAUAAGUUAAUAAAUAUUGUUAUGGCGUAAGCACCGCUUCGCGGCUAAAUAUAAUAAAAUAACUUAUUUUGGAAAAUCAAGCUCAUCUAAAAUUUUUUUUUAGUAAGAAAUUAUCACAAGAUAUAGCUUAAAUUAUUCCUAAAUACUAUACCAGUUUGUAAAUCAACUGUACGAAUAUUUAUGGCGGCUAUACGACAAAGUAGCCGCCAAAAAUUUUUAUAC